RNAcentral lists this ribosomal RNA (236 nucleotides) under uncultured bacterium. RNAcentral describes it as "partial 16S ribosomal RNA". It matches the Rfam family "Bacterial small subunit ribosomal RNA", at positions 524 to 757 of the family's 1533-position model. The record is from RNAcentral.
UACGUAGGGUGCAAGCGUUAAUCGGAAUUACUGGGCGUAAAGCGUGCGCAGGCGGUUUUGUAAGUCUGUCGUGAAAUCCCCCGGGCUCAACCUGGGAAUUGCGAUGGAGACUGCAAGGCUAGAAUCUGGCAGAGGGGGGUAGAAUUCCACGUGUAGCAGUGAAAUGCGUAGAGAUGUGGAGGAACACCGAUGGCGAAGGCAGCCCCCCUGGGUCAAGAUUGACGCUCAUGCACGAA